This 202-nucleotide unclassified non-coding RNA is filed under the name Hevea brasiliensis (rubber tree). The record is from RNAcentral. Lineage: Eukaryota; Viridiplantae; Streptophyta; Magnoliopsida; Malpighiales; Euphorbiaceae.
UACUAUCUGGAAGGAGAGCAAUCGACAAGAAUCGACCAGCUAGAGAACACAAUCUUGUGGAAUGGGCAAAACCUUACCUUGCAAACAAGCGUAAGAUUUUCCGAAUCAUCGACAAUCGUCUUGAGGGCCAAUAUUCGUUGGAUGGUGCCUACAAGGCAUCUACACUCGCACUAAGAUGCCUAUCUAUUCAACCCAAACUCAG